AAGGCAGUACAGCUUAUCGCUCAAAACUUAGUUUUGUGAGGAAAGUCCGGGCAACACAGGGCACCGUACUUCCUAACAGGAAGGUGCUGACAAGCUUUUGCUUGUUAGUAACAGCCAGUGCCACAGAAAAUAUACCGCCAUGGCAAACUUCGGUUUCGUCAUUGGUAAGGGUGAAAAGGUGAGGUAAGAGCUCACCGGUCCCGGUGUGAAUCGGGAUGCGAGGUAAACCUUACGGGUUGAAAGACCAAAUAGGUUCCGGAUAAAGCGGCCCGCUUACAUCCUUCGGGAUACCGGAAUGGGUAGGUCGAUCGAGCCUGAUGGUGACAUCAGGCCCAGAUAAAUGAUAAGCACUCUUUACGGAGUACAGAACCCGGCUUAUCGUUCUGCCUUUGUU
This 394-nucleotide RNase P RNA is filed under the name Mangrovivirga halotolerans. Its description in RNAcentral is "RNase P RNA component class A". It matches the Rfam family "Bacterial RNase P class A". Rfam says of the family: Ribonuclease P (RNase P) is a ubiquitous endoribonuclease, found in archaea, bacteria and eukarya as well as chloroplasts and mitochondria. Its best characterised activity is the generation of mature 5'-ends of tRNAs by cleaving the 5'-leader elements of precursor-tRNAs. Lineage: Bacteria; Pseudomonadati; Bacteroidota; Cytophagia; Cytophagales; Mangrovivirgaceae. The record is from RNAcentral.